Molecule: ribosomal RNA, 379 nt
Filed under: uncultured cyanobacterium
Lineage: Bacteria; Bacillati; Cyanobacteriota
Description: bacterial SSU rRNA
Rfam family: Bacterial small subunit ribosomal RNA
Source: RNAcentral
CGAAAGCCUGACGGAGCAAUACCGCGUGAGGGAGGAAGGCUUUUGGGCUGUAAACCUCUUUUCUCAAGGAAGAAGAUCUGACGGUACUUGAGGAAUAAGCCACGGCUAAUUCCGUGCCAGCAGCCGCGGUAAUACGGGAGUGGCAAGCGUUAUCCGGAAUUAUUGGGCGUAAAGCGUCCGCAGGCGGCCUUUCAAGUCUGCUGUCAAAGCGUGGAGCUUAACUCCAUUUCGGCAGUGGAAACGGAUGGGCUUGAGUGUGGUAGGGGCAGAGGGAAUUCCCGGUGUAGCGGUGAAAUGCGUAGAUAUUGGGAAGAACACCAGUGGCGAAGGCGCUCAACUGGGCCGUAACUGACACUCAGGGACGAAAGCUAGGGGAGCG